UUCAAGAAAAAAAAAGAUCUGGGUCGCUCCUGAUUCAAGAAAACUUGUUCGAGCCCUAUCUGUUCGAAGCAGCAGGGUAGGAUAGGGCGGAGCCGCCGGUGACCCCGGUGGUGGCGGUGGCAGCGGCAGAGGGGGUCGGCAAGGAUGACCGCUGGGGCGAGGAGGCGGAGCCGAUGACCCCGGCGGCGGCAGCGGAGGGGUCCCAGGGGCUCGAGGACCGACGUCUGAUGCAGCCGUGGUUCCUCGCCGUCAAGAGCUAGAUCGAGCGCUCGGCGGUCUAGCCAUCGAGAGGAAGAGCAAGAGCACCUUGCACCGGUUCGGCCAUGGCGUCACGAAGGAGGCGGAGAGAAAGGGCACCGGUGGCCCCGUGAUGGUCGAGGAGGUCGCCGCCUCGUCGUGCAGCGCGCGAUGGUGGACCGAUGGGCGUCCAAGAGGCACUUGACCUUGCCGGAUCACGCUGCUGCUGGCGUAAUCCAGGCCGGAUCUGUGGAGAGCCCGGCGCAGCACCGUCUACAGGUCCAUAUCUCUUAGUCUUACUCUACCUUAUUCCUUGUAAGUUCACGGCUUCCAUUGCUCUUCAGUUCUGGUAAGUUGUUGGAAACUGUAAAAGUAUCUGACGAAGCACAUGAGCUUUCCACAGUGGCCAUGUAACUAAGUUCUGAAUGUUGCUUCGUUAUGCUUAAUGGAGCAGGUGGGCAACUCCCUUUUGUCUAAGAUUUUGCAAGUCUGUGAUAUCUGUAUUAUGUAAAACAGGUCAUGACUGAUUCUUCAGUUACUGAUUCGAUUUUUUUGCUUCCAAUGUUUUGUUAGAUUGAUAAGGGCCGGAGCUUCAAUGACAAAUCUACUAUUCAGCACACAGCCCAACUCGACAGGCAUUAGCCAUGUCAACAUGCACUCAGGGGCAUGCUCGCCUUGGCAGUCAUCAAGGUGGCAAUAGAACACUUGAAUUCUACCAUUUCAGGCGAGAUCAAGCUGCACAGGAAAAUGAGGAACGAUCUGGAGAACAUGAAGAUGACGCUGGAGUCGGUGGAUGUUGUGCUCCGCGACGCUGAGAGGGAGUCUAUCAAGCAUAAGUCCAUGCUUCUGUGGCUGAAGCAACUUAAGGAUGCCGCGAUCGACAUCUCUCACAUGCUUGAAGAUUUUGAAGAUGAAACCGACCUCAACCUGGUAUUUGGCAAUGUUGGCUCUUGAGCUGCCCAAUUGAUCACUGAAGCUGGUGGCAAGGUGGUCUCCAUCAGAGAUGUCACAGGGGCUGUCAAGAACUCCAAUGGCAUUGACAUAGCCAAGCUGAUGAAGCACUCGGCAGAGAACCGCGGGAUCAAGGGCUCCGACAAAAGGCGAUGCCGUCGACCCGACCUCGCUGCUCAUGGAAGAGUGCGAUGUGCUCAUCCCGGCAGCUCUGGGAGGAGUCAUAAACAAUAGAGAAGUGUACAUGUUCGCGCUGAAGAUUCUGGCAAAGAAGGGCGUGCUGAUCCUACCGGACAUCGUGGCCAACUCCGGCGGAGUGAUGGUGAGCUACUUCGAGUGGGUGCAGAACAUCCAGGGGUCCAUGUGGGACGAGGAGAACGUGAAUCCGGAGCUCAAGAUGUACAUGACCCGCGCCUCAAACAUAGUUCUGAUUAUUUAGGCAGUGUAUGGCGCCGUAUAAAAUGGGCAGUAAUUAUGUAUAGUAUAUCUUCAAAAACCAGAAUUGGCUCAAUUUGGAACAGUGCCUGCUUUAUAUGAAUUUCUUGCUCGCUUUGCACGCGUUGCUACAAGUGCAUUACCAUGCCUCAGCCAUAAUCAUCCUUGACAAAUAUGGCAAUCACCUUUAGUAUGGA
Molecule: non-coding RNA, 1820 nt
Organism: Triticum urartu
Lineage: Eukaryota; Viridiplantae; Streptophyta; Magnoliopsida; Poales; Poaceae
Source: RefSeq, a predicted model, not a curated record